AUAUGCAUAUUGCAAAAGACGGAGAAUAUCGCAAUAAAUCGCAAACCCAAAAUGUGUUAAAACAAUCUUCUAGCAGCUUGAAGCAUUUAACGAAUUGUAACCCUUGGCAUCAGACUAGCCAUCAGACUAACUGUGAACACCUGGCCCCGCCCUUAUUAUGAGAGGCCCGGUGUGUAUAUAAGUUCCUGGUCAGCUGGUGCACUUCCUGCUUGCUGCUUGCUACUUCCUGCUUCCUGCUGGCUGCUUCUUGCUCUCAGCUGUUGCUGCUGCUGUGGCCACACCAGGACGCCUAAAACAUUUUCUUAAUACGAACAUAUUUGGACACCUCAGCAUUUACCUUUGGACACUAACUAACCCCAAAGAGACCUGCUCAUUGGUCAGGUUUUUGUUAUGUAUGCUUUGAUCUACAACUUGAUGGCGAGCCACCCAAAUCUGAGCUCGUGAUACUUCCACCCUCAAUAACAACUCCUCACCUGCAGGAAACCUCAACUACAUCCCAACCAAUAGACUUUUGGAAACCACUCAAUAGGACUCAGACCCAUAUCCCGGUUCCUUUUGUUGUUUGUUUGUAUUGUUUAAAUGUCUAUUUUCUGUUAAUACAAUCGAUUGCAUUUUACUUUUA
This is a non-coding RNA of Oryzias latipes (Japanese medaka), 622 nucleotides long. NCBI's taxonomy places the organism in Eukaryota, Metazoa, Chordata, Actinopteri, Beloniformes, Adrianichthyidae. The record is from RefSeq and is a predicted model, not a curated record.